Molecule: ribosomal RNA, 468 nt
Filed under: uncultured bacterium
Lineage: Bacteria
Description: partial 16S ribosomal RNA
Rfam family: Bacterial small subunit ribosomal RNA
Source: RNAcentral
GACGAACGCUGGCGGCGUGCUUAACACAUGCAAGUCGAACGGCAAGGCCCUGCUUUUGUGGGGUGCUCGAGUGGCGAACGGGUGAGUAACACGUGAGUAACCUGCCCUUGACUUUGGGAUAACUUCAGGAAACUGGGGCUAAUACCGGAUAGGAGCUCCUGUUGCAUGGUGGGGGUUGGAAAGUUUCGGCAGUUGGGGAUGGACUCGCGGCUUAUCAGCUUGUUGGUGGGGUAGUGGCUUACCAAGGCUUUGACGGGUAGCCGGCCUGAGAGGGUGACCGGCCACAUUGGGACUGAGAGACGGCCCAGACUGCUACGGGAGGCAGCAGUGGGGAAGAUUGCACAAUGGGCGGAGGGCUGAUGCAGCUACGCCGCGUGCGGGAUGGCGGCCUUCGGGUUGUAGAACGCUUUCGCCUGUGACGAAGCGUGAGUGACGGUAAUGGGUAAAGAAGCAACGGCUAACUACGUG